RNAcentral lists this transfer RNA (88 nucleotides) under Haloferax volcanii. Its description in RNAcentral is "tRNA-Thr". Lineage: Archaea; Methanobacteriati; Methanobacteriota; Halobacteria; Halobacteriales; Haloferacaceae. RNAcentral also lists the same sequence under 1 other name. The record is from RNAcentral.
GCCUGGGUAGCUUAGCGGUAAAGCGCGUCCUUGGUAAGGACGAGGACCGUUAUUGGAACGCGAGGUUCCAAACCGACGGCUACAGGCA